This 468-nucleotide ribosomal RNA is filed under the name uncultured Pseudomonadota bacterium. Its description in RNAcentral is "bacterial SSU rRNA". It matches the Rfam family "Bacterial small subunit ribosomal RNA", at positions 33 to 497 of the family's 1533-position model. The record is from RNAcentral. Lineage: Bacteria; Pseudomonadati; Pseudomonadota.
ACGCUGGCGGUAGGCUUAACACAUGCAAGUCGUGCGAGAAAGUAUCUUCGGAUAUGAGUAGAGCGGCGAACGGGUGAGUAACGCGUAGGAAUGUACCUAGUAGAAGGGGAUAGCCCGAGGAAACUCGGAUUAAUACCGUAUACCUCCUUCGGGAGAAAGAAGGCCUCUCUUUGAAGCUUUCGCUACUAGAUCAGCCUGCGUAAGAUUAGCUUGUUGGUAGGGUAAAAGCCUACCAAGGCGACGAUCUUUAGCUGGUCUGAGAGGAUGAUCAGCCACAUCGGGACUGAGACACGGCCCGAACUCCUACGGGAGGCAGCAGUGGGGAAUAUUGGACAAUGGGGGCAACCCUGAUCCAGCAAUACCGCGUGUGUGAAGAAGGCCUGAGGGUUGUAAAGCACUUUCAAUUGGAAGAAAAGUUAACGGUUAAUAACCGUUAGCCUUGACGUUAACUUUAGAAGAAGCACCGGC